RNAcentral lists this non-coding RNA (20 nucleotides) under Trypanosoma vivax. Lineage: Eukaryota; Euglenozoa; Kinetoplastea; Trypanosomatida; Trypanosomatidae. The record is from RNAcentral.
UAAACAACUGUAAUAAUGUG